GUGCCAGCCGCCGCGGUAAUACGAAGGUCCCAAGCGUUAUCCGGAUUUAUUGGGUUUAAAGGGUGCGUAGGCGGGCUAUUAAGUCAGUGGUGAAAUCUCCAUGCCUAACAUGGAAACUGCCAUUGAUACUGAUGGUCUUGAGUACAUUUGAAGUGGGCGGAAUGUGUCAUGUAGUGGUGAAAUACUUAGAUAUGACACAGAACACCGAUUGCGUAGGCAGCUCACUAAACUGUAACUGACGCUGAGGCACGAAAGCGUGGGGAGCAAACAGGAUUAGAAACCCGCGUAGUCC
This 292-nucleotide ribosomal RNA is filed under the name uncultured bacterium. RNAcentral describes it as "partial 16S ribosomal RNA". It matches the Rfam family "Bacterial small subunit ribosomal RNA", at positions 505 to 796 of the family's 1533-position model. The record is from RNAcentral.